CCUACGGGGGGCAGCAGUGGGGAAUAUUGGACAAUGGGGGCAACCCUGAUCCAGCCAUGCCGCGUGUGUGAAGAAGGCCCUCGGGUUGUAAAGCACUUUCAGUGAGGAAGAACGCCUGGUGGUUAAUACCCAUCAGGAAAGACAUCACUCACAGAAGAAGCACCGGCUAACUCCGUGCCAGCAGCCGCGGUAAUACGGAGGGUGCGAGCGUUAAUCGGAAUUACUGGGCGUAAAGCGCGCGUAGGUGGCUUGAUAAGCCGGUUGUGAAAGCCCCGGGCUCAACCUGGGAACGGCAUCCGGAACUGUCAAGCUAGAGUGCAGGAGAGGAAGGUAGAAUUCCCGGUGUAGCGGUGAAAUGCGUAGAGAUCGGGAGGAAUACCAGUGGUGAAGGCGGCCUUCUGGACUGACACUGACACUGAGGUGCGAAAGCGUGGGUAGCAAACAGGAUUAGAUACCCGUGUAGUC
RNAcentral lists this ribosomal RNA (465 nucleotides) under Vreelandella stevensii. RNAcentral's name for it is "partial 16S ribosomal RNA". It matches the Rfam family "Bacterial small subunit ribosomal RNA", at positions 338 to 795 of the family's 1533-position model. The record is from RNAcentral. Lineage: Bacteria; Pseudomonadati; Pseudomonadota; Gammaproteobacteria; Oceanospirillales; Halomonadaceae.